RNAcentral lists this ribosomal RNA (1014 nucleotides) under Trichoderma viride. RNAcentral's name for it is "partial large subunit ribosomal RNA". It matches the Rfam family "Eukaryotic large subunit ribosomal RNA", at positions 75 to 1104 of the family's 3401-position model. Lineage: Eukaryota; Fungi; Ascomycota; Sordariomycetes; Hypocreales; Hypocreaceae. The record is from RNAcentral.
UUGCCUCAGUAACGGCGAGUGAAGCGGCAAGAGCUCAAAUUUGAAAUCUGGCCCCUCCGGGGUCCGAGUUGUAAUUUGGAGAGGAUGCUUCGGGCUCGGUCCCCAUCUAAGUGCCCCUGGAACGGGCUGUCAUAGAGGGUGAGAAUCCCGUAUGGGAUGGGCGGCCGUGCCCGUGUGAAGCUCCUUCGACGAGUCGAGUUGUUUGGGAAUGCAGCUCUAAGCGGGUGGUAAAUUUCAUCUAAAGCUAAAUACUGGCCGGAGACCGAUAGCGCACAAGUAGAGUGAUCGAAAGAUGAAAAGCACUUUGAAAAGAGAGUUAAACAGCACGUGAAAUUGUUGAAAGGGAAGCGUUGGCCACCAGACGCGCCCGGGGGGGCUCAGCCGGCACGUGUGCCGGUGUACUCCCCCCCCGGACGGGUCAGCAUCGGUUUGGGCGGUCGCUGAAAGGCUCUGGGAAUGUAGCACCCUCCGGGGUGCCUUAUAGCCCAGGGUGUCAUGCGGCCCGCCUGGACCGAGGUUCGCGCUUCGGCGAGGAUGCUGGCGUAAUGGUGGUCAACGGCCCGUCUUGAAACACGGACCAAGGAGUCUAACAUCUAUGCGAGUGUUCGGGUGUCAAACCCGUCCGCGCAGUGAAAGCGAACGCAGGUGGGAACCCCUUCCCGGGGCGCACCAUCGACCGAUCCUGAUGUCUUCGGAUGGAUUUGAGUAAGAGCAUAGCUGUUGGGACCCGAAAGAUGGUGAACUAUGCCUGAAUAGGGCGAAGCCAGAGGAAACUCUGGUGGAGGCUCGCAGCGGUUCUGACGUGCAAAUCGAUCGUCAAAUUUGGGUAUAGGGGCGAAAGACUAAUCGAACCAUCUGGUAGCUGGUUCCUGCCGAAGUUUCCCUCAGGAUAGCAGUAACGACAUCAGUUUUAUGAGGUAAAGCGAAUGAUUAGAGGCCUUGGGGUUGAAACAACCUUAACCUAUUCUCAAACUUUAAAUAUGUAAGAAGCCCUUGUUGCUUAGUUGAACGUGG